CGGUGAAUCAAGCGUUGAAACAAUUCUUAAAAGCCGACCGUCUCAAAACAGGGUGAAGAGAGCAGCGGAAGAGAGAGACGCUUGGAUGGCAGCAGCAGGCCUGAGCAACAGCUGACAGCAGGCAGGGGACAAGCUGUGCCUGCAGCCACAGCACCAACGGCAGAGAAGGGGAGCCUCUUCCAGAACUCCGCAGUGUGCUUCC
Molecule: non-coding RNA, 202 nt
Organism: Tupaia belangeri (northern tree shrew)
Lineage: Eukaryota; Metazoa; Chordata; Mammalia; Scandentia; Tupaiidae
Source: Rfam